Pogoniulus pusillus (Red-fronted tinkerbird) is the source of this 475-nucleotide long non-coding RNA. RefSeq lists it as uncharacterized. The transcript is spliced from 4 exons. Lineage: Eukaryota; Metazoa; Chordata; Aves; Piciformes; Lybiidae. The record is from RefSeq and is a predicted model, not a curated record.
GAGCUCAUUGCUGCCUUCAGCUCCCUGAAGGGAGGCUGUAGCCAGGUGGAGUUGCUCUCUUCUGCCAGCCUGGUGAAUUUAGAUCAACUUCAGUAGCCUCGAGAGAGUCCAUUGGCUUCAAAGCCCACAGAGAGCUGCUAGACAAAGGACCUAAGAAGCUGCCAGCCUUAAAAGCUGUGUCCCAGGGUGCCCUCCUUUCCUUUCUCAGCAGCCUUGCUUGCUGAAGGAAGCAAAGAUACCUGAGGAAGGAGGAUUUGCUCUAGCAUGACCUAGAGCUCAGCUCAUGCUUUCAGACACCUUCAGCCUGCGGAGAUGAUGGCCUGGAGAGAAACAUUAAUGCCUGACCCUCUGGCCCCAUGUUUUAUGCACACUGAGAAGAACAGGCCAUCAAACAUGCCAGAGGAUUAGCUAAUGAACCAUUCAGCUCUAAUGCUUAUCUAAAUUGAGAGCUGUGUGAAAGAAAUUACACUUUGCU